Oncorhynchus masou masou (cherry salmon) is the source of this 1307-nucleotide long non-coding RNA. RefSeq lists it as uncharacterized. The transcript has 4 exons. NCBI's taxonomy places the organism in Eukaryota, Metazoa, Chordata, Actinopteri, Salmoniformes, Salmonidae. The record is from RefSeq and is a predicted model, not a curated record.
CUCACAUACAAACACUACAUUGGAAUUAUUUCACAGAGGAAGUUAAUUUAAGAAAUAAGGAAAUCCACAAAUACUGUUUUUCAAAGUUCACUUAAUUUAUGUUAUUGUAACGGAUUUCCUCCUCUUCGUCUGAGGCGGAGUAAGGAUCGGACCAAAACGCAGCGUGGAGUCAGAAGAAGAGUGAGGGUGAGAGGAGGAGUACACGGAGGAGGAGGAAGAGGAAGAGGCCGAGCCAGAGCUCGAGGAAGACAUGAUGCAGGAGGAGAACCUGCACAAAGAAGAGGACCAAACUUAUCAAAUUACAUUCGUGCAACACUAGUGGACCAUGUUGUGAACCACAGAUUGACGUUGAGGGAGGCUGGACUGAGAGUUCAGCCAAAUCUUAGCAGAUAUACAGUGGCCUCUGUCACAAGGACUUUUCGACAGGAAAACAGGUUCAAAUGAAACAACUUCAUCGAGUGCCUUUUGAGCGGAAUUCAGAGCGGGUCAAACGGCUGCGGCAUGAGUAUGUGGAGGGAGUUUUGCAGAUGGAUGCUGAGGAAAUCCUGCAUGAAUUCAUAUAUAUUGAAGAGGCAGGGUUCAACCUCACAAAAGCAAGAAGGAGAGGCAGAAAUAUCAUUGGCCACAGGGCUAUAAUCAAUGUCCCAGGGCAACGUGGGGGUAACAGCACCCUUUGCGCUGCCAUUUCACAGCAUGGGGUUGUCCUCCGUCAUGCCAAAAUGGGCCCUUACAACACACCUCACAUUCUCACAUUUUUGGACCGAUUGCACCACAUCGUCACAGCAGGUAAUGAAAUGCACCAGAUGCAAUACACAGACAUCUGGAACAAUGUGUCAUUCCACUGCUCUGCUUUGGUCCAGAACUGGUUUCAACACCAUCCACAGUUGACAGUACUAUACCUUCCACCAUACUCUCCGUUUCUAAACCCUAUCAAAGAGUUGUUCUCUGCAUGGCGGUGGAAGGUUUACGAUCUCCAGCCCCAGGCUCAGGUAUCCCACAUUCAGGCCAUGGAGGACGACGCCGAGGCUGUGCAAGGAUGGAUUCAACAUUUAAGACGGUUCUUCCCGCGUUGUCUUGCUAAUGACGAUAUUGCUUGUGAUGAUGAAAUUCUCUGGCCAGAUCCAGUAUUUUCUGUACAAUAUUGUCCUUUUUUCCCAGAAUUGCUUUAUGUUGUUAUUUACUGUAAUUGUAACCUGUACUGGAUACAGUAUUUUACGUUUGUCUGUUUGCUGAGCUAAGUGUUAUGCACACUACUGUAGUAGCAUGAAAACUGGGACAUGUUUUGUUGUGAUUCUCCAUGUUGACAU